AGCAGUGACCUUCGAGUACCCAAGCAAUGCCGUGGAGGAGGUCACUCAGAACAACUUCCGGCUCCUCUUCAAGGGCUCAGAGAUGGUGGUGGCUGGGAAGCUCCAGGACCGGGGGCCUGAUGUGCUCACAGCCACAGUCAGUGGGAAGCUGGUGAGUGUGGCCAAAGCCACCCUGGAGGGGAAUGGCAGCCUCCACCUCUGCAGCCAGAGGGGCUGGACUCAAAUCCCAGACCUGCCCAGCUCCAGCUUUCCCCUCUGCUGCCUGUGGAUGACACAGGGGCAUGGCAGGGAUUCAAUGAGACAAUGGAGUGAUUCUCAUGAGACCAGCACAUACAGGCUCUCGGCAGCCGGUCUGUGCACCUGCAAGCACAGAUGGAGUCUCGCUCUGUCUCCCAGGCUGGAGUGCAGUGGUUGGAUCUCGGCUCAUUGCAAGCUCCACCUCCCAGCCUACACAGAACAUCACUUUCCAAACGGAGUCCAGUGUGGCAGAGCAGGAGG
RNAcentral lists this long non-coding RNA (498 nucleotides) under Homo sapiens (human). RNAcentral's name for it is "non-protein coding lnc-MUSTN1-3:1". Lineage: Eukaryota; Metazoa; Chordata; Mammalia; Primates; Hominidae. The record is from RNAcentral.